Gasterosteus aculeatus aculeatus (three-spined stickleback) is the source of this 1655-nucleotide long non-coding RNA. NCBI's taxonomy places the organism in Eukaryota, Metazoa, Chordata, Actinopteri, Perciformes, Gasterosteidae. The record is from Ensembl.
AAAGGCCUCAAGCAGCAAAUGACUGUUUAGUUUAAAUGAAUGUGAACGUGAUCUUUUACAUCGGUAAAAAUUCAGUAAUCAGUGAAGCCAAAGCAGAAGAUGAAUUGAUAAACCCAAAUGAACGACGUUCACAGCCUCUGGUAGACGUCCAUCUCACGUAGGAUGAGGCAAAGCGAACGAUGUCACCAUGGUAACAAGCUGCAACGUGAUUAUUGGACUUUCACAGUAAGGAAAUCGUCCUUGAGAGACUGCAGGUCCCUGAGGACUCUCCAGCUGUUGGAGGUGCUGGUUUCUCAGGUGAGGCGCUAUUGAGGACCUGCAGGGUCCUGAACCUCAUCUCAGGUGCACGGGUGACACAAACCUCGAGGUCGGAGGAAACAGAAUAUCGGUGAGAACCAAAACAACUUGUGGAUCGCCGAUCGGAGGUCUCACGUACAAAACGAGACUAACCAUCUGGCAGGAACGAGACGUCCUCUAAACACCGGCCCUGAUGUGGACGGCAGCGCCCAGGUGGGAGGUGCUGAUGGUCGCUGACGUCCCGCCCCCCUCGAGCGCUGGCUGGUGCAAACACACAAACACACAAACACACAACACCAAAAACCUUGUCCAGACAAAUCACGUGACGAAGGAGGAGACCUGACGACGCCCCCGUUGACUGGCAGGACCCUCGACGUGACACGUGACACGAUGGAUUCAUGUCACGUUCUACUGAUGCCGCCACCACACAGGACACGUGAUGCCCACACCUCACAGGGGGCCACAGGCCUCUCCUACAUGUUACUCCCAUGAGCCUCGGCUCUAGUUCGCUGAAUGCGUCGCUCCACCCAAAGUGGGUGAAGUGAAAGUGGAAGAGCCGCCGGCGUGCUCCUGGUCCCUGAUUAUUCUGCAGAGCUCCACUAAGAAUCAAUCAAUUAAAGAAGAAGAGAAGCAAAGGUCGUCUUCAGCGACCCGCAGUGAUGUGAUUUCACUUGGAGGAAGGUUCCUCCCCCUGUUGCAUAACCAGUGGAAUGUCAGGUUUCCCUCACAGCUGACCUUUAGUAAACACACACACGUGUACACACACACAGCAUGUGUGCAGUCACACGCGUGUCGACUUCCAAACUCCUCGUUCUUGAUCAAUUAUUCAAACGUUACGCGUCGUGUCCGUGAGGCUUUGAGCUGAAUAAUUAGAACAGUCACUUCGUUCCUCCUUUUAAAGGGACAGUGACUCGUUCCUCCUCGACAGCCUCCAAAGUUCUGAGAGCGAAACACUUUCUCGGAGGAAAAGAAGUAAAUAUUGACUUUUAAACUCCAUCUUGUUGUGGAUGCACAGCUGUUUGUUCACAUGGAGCUCGAGGUUUUCCCACGACAAGGAUCACGAGGCAAACCGGAGACGUGCCACUUCUUUCAUGAGGCUGAGCUUGAUUUAGAACCUUGAUGACACAUUUGUGUCCAUGCAGAGAGAAUUUCUAUCUGUGAUAUUUUAAGGUACAAAUUCUUCUUUAUUAAACUCGGCCGGAUUGAAAUGUAAAUAAUUUAGAAUUCAACAUUUAUUAAGCAGGUAUGAAUUAUACAUUCAUGCAAAAUCUUGGCAAUGGGACUCCAUCCUGAUAUAGGAUAGAAGGGUGGAGAAGUCGGAAAAGACCCAAUGACUGGAGGGGGGGGGUCGUAUCGGA